GUGCUUGCUUCAGCAACACACAUGCUGAAAAUUGGAAUGUUACAGGGAAGAUUAGCAUGGUCCUUACACAAGGAUGACAUAUAAAUUCAUAAAGUGUUCCAUUAAAAA
Molecule: small nuclear RNA, 108 nt
Organism: Balaenoptera acutorostrata (minke whale)
Lineage: Eukaryota; Metazoa; Chordata; Mammalia; Artiodactyla; Balaenopteridae
Source: RefSeq, a predicted model, not a curated record